This 253-nucleotide ribosomal RNA is filed under the name uncultured bacterium. RNAcentral describes it as "partial 16S ribosomal RNA". It matches the Rfam family "Bacterial small subunit ribosomal RNA", at positions 524 to 776 of the family's 1533-position model. The record is from RNAcentral.
UACGUAGGGGCCUAGCGUUGUCCGGAAUUAUUGGGCGUAAAGAGCUUGUAGGCGGUUUGUCGCGUCUGCUGUGAAAAUCCGGGGCUCAACCCCGGACUUGCAGUGGGUACGGGCAGACUAGAGUGUGGUAGGGGAGACUGGAAUUCCUGGUGUAGCGGUGAAAUGCGCAGAUAUCAGGAGGAACACCGAUGGCGAAGGCAGGUCUCUGGGCCACUACUGACGCUGAGAAGCGAAAGCGUGGGGAGCGAACAGG